UUAAAAGCCAAUAAUUUUUACUUUCAGAAAUACACGAGAACACACAACCUAGGGUCUCUCCACUUCUCAUACCAUCCUCCGGAUAAGUAUUUCUUUCAGUCAUACCGGUCGAAGAACUACAAGAAUUAUUUCGUCUAUUCACCAAGCGGAAAUGU
Long non-coding RNA from Cydia amplana, 155 nucleotides. RefSeq lists it as uncharacterized. The transcript has 5 exons. The record is from RefSeq and is a predicted model, not a curated record. NCBI's taxonomy places the organism in Eukaryota, Metazoa, Arthropoda, Insecta, Lepidoptera, Tortricidae.